Molecule: ribosomal RNA, 440 nt
Filed under: uncultured bacterium
Lineage: Bacteria
Description: SSU rRNA
Rfam family: Bacterial small subunit ribosomal RNA
Source: RNAcentral
AGAACGAACGCUGGCGGCAGGCUUAACACAUGCAAGUCGAGCGCCCCGCAAGGGGAGCGGCAGACGGGUGAGUAACGCGUGGGAAUCUACCCAACUCUACGGAAUAGCUUCGGGAAACUGGAAUUAAUACCGUAUACGCCCUACGGGGGAAAGAUUUAUCGGAGUUGGAUGAGCCCGCGUUGGAUUAGCUAGUUGGUGGGGUAAUGGCCUACCAAGGCGACGAUCCAUAGCUGGUCUGAGAGGAUGAUCAGCCACACUGGGACUGAGACACGGCCCAGACUCCUACGGGAGGCAGCAGUGGGGAAUAUUGGACAAUGGGCGAAAGCCUGAUCCAGCCAUGCCGCGUGAGUGAUGAAGGCCUUAGGGUUGUAAAGCUCUUUCAGUGGGAAGAUAAUGACGUACCGCAGAAGAAGCCCGGCUAACUUCGUGCCAGCAGCCGC